This 527-nucleotide long non-coding RNA is filed under the name Numida meleagris (helmeted guineafowl). RNAcentral's name for it is "lncRNA (ENSNMEG00000019100.1)". Lineage: Eukaryota; Metazoa; Chordata; Aves; Galliformes; Numididae. The record is from RNAcentral.
AUGGAAAAGGGAAGAUUGUGCAGCAGUCCUGUAUGCCAGAUAAGUCCUAGAGAAGAAAAUGGGACCUCAUGGAACAGAAACACCCACAGGAUUUGCUCUGUUCUCUUACAACCAAGAGGAAAAUGCAUGAAGAAGAAUUCAAGUGACUUUCGGCUUCUAUAUUCGUGGUACUUCCUUUCAUUAAUGGGUACACACAGACACAAUGGCCUGUUGCUGGAAGGGCGAGAGCAUUGAAAAGAACAUAAAUAGGAAGGUAACAUCCCGAGUUGACAGUGUCCAUUAAUUAAUUAAGAGAAGGUUAAGUCAUUUCUGAAUAGGCUUAGUGUCAAGCUCAUACUUCCCUCAGUCUCUGGCAGCAUUUACAGCAUGUUGUUGAUAAUACAGCUCAAGGUCUCACUGACUUUGACAACUCUGCAAGGAUAUUUUGGAAGGAUUUGGUGGUUUUGAAUAGUUCAUUUCAGUAACCCAUAAAGAAACACUUUCCUUCAACACAAGCAUGAGUGGUUAUUUCUGUGCUUAAUAACGCC